RNAcentral lists this ribosomal RNA (292 nucleotides) under uncultured bacterium. Its description in RNAcentral is "partial 16S ribosomal RNA". It matches the Rfam family "Bacterial small subunit ribosomal RNA", at positions 505 to 796 of the family's 1533-position model. The record is from RNAcentral.
GUGCCAGCAGCCGCGGUAACACGGGGGGAGCAAGCGUUGUUCGGAAUCACUGGGCGUAAAGGGCGUGUAGGCGGUUUGGUAAGUGAGAUGUGAAAUGCUUCGGCUCACCCGAAGACCUGCAUCUCAAACUGCCGGACUAGAGUAUGGGAGAGGACAAGGGAAUUCCUGGUGUAGCGGUGAAAUGCGUAGAUAUCAGGAGGAACACCGGUGGCGAAAGCGCUUGUCUGGCCCAAUACUGACGCUGAGGCGCGAAAGCUAGGGGAGCAAACGGGAUUAGAUACCCCUGUAGUCC